This 848-nucleotide ribosomal RNA is filed under the name uncultured Verrucomicrobiota bacterium. RNAcentral describes it as "bacterial SSU rRNA". It matches the Rfam family "Bacterial small subunit ribosomal RNA", at positions 63 to 891 of the family's 1533-position model. The record is from RNAcentral. Lineage: Bacteria; Pseudomonadati; Verrucomicrobiota.
CGAACGAGAUUUUUUCCUGUAGCAAUACAGGGAAAAGUCUAGUGGCGAACGGGUGCGUAACACGUGGGCAAUCUGCCUUAAAGUGGGGGAUAGCUCGGCGAAAGCCGAAUUAAUACCGCAUGUGAUCAGGGGAGACAUCUUCCCGAAAUCAAAAGUGGCGCAAGCUACUGCUUUUUGAGGAGCCCGCGGCCUAUCAGCUAGUUGGUGAGGUAACGGCUCACCAAGGCUUUGACGGGUAGCUGGUCUGAGAGGACGACCAGUCACACUGGAACUGAGACACGGUCCAGACACCUACGGGUGGCAGCAGUCGAGAAUUUUUCUCAAUGGGGGAAACCCUGAAGGAGCGACGCCGCGUGGAGGAUGAAGGUCUUCGGGUUGUAAACUCCUGUCAUUUGGGAACAAUGCUUACGUAUUAACUGUACGUGAGUUGAUAGUACCAGAAGAGGAAGAGACGGCUAACUCUGUGCCAGCAGCCGCGGUAAUACAGAGGUCUCAAGCGUUGUUCGGAUUCAUUGGGCGUAAAGGGUGUGUAGGUGGCGCCGUAAGUCGGGUGUGAAAUUUCGGAGCUUAACUCCGAAACUGCAUUCGAUACUGCGGUGCUUGAGGACUGGAGAGGAGACUGGAAUUCAUGGUGUAGCAGUGAAAUGCGUAGAGAUCAUGAGGAAGACCAGUGGCGAAGGCGGGUCUCUGGACAGUUCCCUGACACUGAAACACGAAGGCCAGGGGAGCAAACGGGAUUAGAUACCCCGGUAGUCCUGGCAGUAAACGGUGCAGUUUGGUGGGGGAGGAUCGAACCCUUCUGCGCCGGAACUAAGGCGUUAAACGUGCCCCCGGGGAUACGGUCCCAA